RNAcentral lists this ribosomal RNA (253 nucleotides) under uncultured bacterium. RNAcentral describes it as "partial 16S ribosomal RNA". It matches the Rfam family "Bacterial small subunit ribosomal RNA", at positions 524 to 776 of the family's 1533-position model. The record is from RNAcentral.
UACGGAGGGGGUUAGCGUUGUUCGGAAUUACUGGGCGUAAAGCGCGCGUAGGCGGACUGGAAAGUUGGGGGUGAAAUCCCGGGGCUCAACCCCGGAACGGCCUCCAAAACUAUCAGUCUAGAGUUCGAGAGAGGUGAGUGGAAUUCCGAGUGUAGAGGUGAAAUUCGUAGAUAUUCGGAGGAACACCAGUGGCGAAGGCGGCUCACUGGCUCGAUGCUGACGCUGAGGUGCGAAAGCGGGGGGAGCAAACAGG